Numida meleagris (helmeted guineafowl) is the source of this 847-nucleotide long non-coding RNA. RefSeq lists it as uncharacterized. The record is from RefSeq and is a predicted model, not a curated record. The transcript has 2 exons. NCBI's taxonomy places the organism in Eukaryota, Metazoa, Chordata, Aves, Galliformes, Numididae.
ACACAGUGAGAGAACCUGUUGGUUAGAUUUCAGAACCUCAAACACAAGCAAAGUCUGCAAUGGCAGGGGAUUGAAACCAUGCUCUUCCUCUGGAAGCUUUUUGAGGAGCAGCUUCAGUUAAUAACGCUUGUGUGCUCCUCUCCUAAAAUUCUAUUUUAGGAACUUUUACUUUCUCAGUUAGCAAGUAUGAAAGGAACCUUACGGAAGGAGACUGAACUGAAAAGGCUUUCAUCACGAGCGAAAUGCAUAGGACUUCAUCCUGCCAAGCUGCCAAGCAGAGGCGUGUCCCCAACCUUACAGAGCCAACCAUCAUGGCCCGUUCUUGCAGUUUUGGGAGAGGAAACAAUGGUGCAGACUUGGGGCAGUGAAACAAGCACUGACUGUAAGCAGCUGCGGGGAGACUCUUCCAUGAGGUAGGGAUCAUUGGCAUGGAUGCACUCCAGCCAAGAAACUUUGUGGCUCUGGCCCAUGAGCUCAGUGCUUUAGAGAACUCUUCAUUAAAGUAUUAUCCUCUCACACAAUGACAAUACAAACACAAAUCACAUAUUUUCACACAAAUUUCUCAAGAGAUGCAUAGUGCUUGAAAAGGAAGACCAGAUAGGAACACCCUUGUUCAUUGAGUAAGUUUAUUGAUUAUAAUUUUACAAUAAACUGAUCAGUGUACACCAUUAGCAAAAAUUAAAAACUUACUAGCAUGCUUCAUAGGCUACAAAAUUGUCAGUUAUCAAAAGUAUUAGAGAAUAGGCAGGCAGAUAUGCCUUAUAUGAGCUGAAAAUGAGUAUAAAAUCUUGCAAAAAAUUCUCAAUAGCAUCAGAGACACAGUAGAACACGCUGCUUUAAAAAAAAA